AUGAACGCUGGCGGCGUGCCUAAUACAUGCAAGUCGAGCGAACGGACGAGAAGCUUGCUUCUCUGAUGUUAGCGGCGGACGGGUGAGUAACACGUGGAUAACCUACCUAUAAGACUGGGAUAACUUCGGGAAACCGUAGCUAAUACCGGAUAAUAUUUUGAACCGCAUGGUUCAAAAGUGAAAGACGGUCUUGCUGUCACUUAUAGAUGGAUCCGCGCUGCAUUAGCUAGUUGGUAAGGUAACGGCUUACCAAGGCAACGAUGCAUAGCCGACCUGAGAGGGUGAUCGGCCACACUGGAACUGAGACACGGUCCAGACUCCUACGGGAGGCGGCAGUAGGGAAUCUUCCGCAAUGGGCGAAAGCCUGACGGAGCAACGCCGCGUGAGUGAUGAAGGUCUUCGGAUCGUAAAACUCUGUUAUUAGGGAAGAACAUAUGUGUAAGUAACUGUGCACAUCUUGACGGUACCUAAUCAGAAAGCCACGGCUAACUACGUG
RNAcentral lists this ribosomal RNA (496 nucleotides) under uncultured bacterium. RNAcentral describes it as "partial 16S ribosomal RNA". It matches the Rfam family "Bacterial small subunit ribosomal RNA", at positions 29 to 507 of the family's 1533-position model. The record is from RNAcentral.